This 1149-nucleotide unclassified non-coding RNA is filed under the name Hevea brasiliensis (rubber tree). The record is from RNAcentral. Lineage: Eukaryota; Viridiplantae; Streptophyta; Magnoliopsida; Malpighiales; Euphorbiaceae.
GAAACGCCGCGUGGUUACCCGUGAAUUGCUUUUAAAGUCUCGCCCACUUCCUCUUUUUCCCCUCAUUUUUCUCACGCCUCUCUUUUCCUUUUCCUCCAUAGAGCCUUCCAUCACCACCACCUCAGCCGCCGUAGCCAGCGUUCAUUUGUUUCCAAUUAUUCAGAACUCCCAUUACCACUUUCUUCUCUUUUCUUUCUAAGGUAUUGCUCUUUAUAUUUCCUUUCUCUGAAUUCUUGAUUCGUACCGAAUUUUAAAGAACGAUUCAAUUUGAGAGGUUUCAUAGCUUUAUUCUGUUCUGCACGUAUCAAUUUGUUCUUACUGUUUCAGGCCAAAAAAAAAAAGAGUAUAUUCAAGAGAAUUAUAUUAAUGGCUUCGUUGAUCUCAAGCCUCGAAUCGCAAGAAUUCAAGCAGAGGAAGAAGCGAAGAAAACUCACUGACCAAACGCAGAAUCACGCUCAAAACGACAAUACGAACAAUCGAACUAUCACCAAUCCAAGGUGGAAAACCCAAGCGGAGCUGCAGAUCUAUUCCUCCAAGCUUCUCGAAGCUCUCCGCUUAUCUCGUCGGACCUCUUCGACGGCGGCGGCUAAAGGCAGAGAAAUCAGAGAAACUGCCGACAGAGUCCUCGCCGUCGCAGGAAAAGGCACGACUAGGUGGAGCCGCGCGAUUCUGGCGGGAAGGCUCAGGUUGAGGAAGGUUAAAAAGGUUAGGAGAGUGAAGGUAACAGGUGAGAGCCGGUUGAGGAGGAAGGAGAUGGCGCGAGAGAGCAAUAGGUUACCGGUUUUGGAGGACAGAGUUCGUGCUUUGAGCCGGUUGGUUCCCGGUUGUCGGAAGACAUCGUUUACUAGUCUUUUAGAGGAAACAAGUGAUUAUAUAGCGGCUUUGGAGAUGCAGGUGAAAGCCAUGACGGCUCUGACAGAGAUUCUCGCCGCCGGUGGCGUCGCACCGGUUAGUCCAACAAACUGAGUGAAUAGCCAAUCACAACUUGUUAGUUAUUCCAGGUGUUAUUACAAUUUUUAAUUUUAUUUCUUGUAUUUUCUUUUUCUUUUAUAUUAUUUCUUGAUUAUUAAUUCAUGUACUUUAUUGUAUACGUGACUUUCUGGGGGUAUUUUCUUUUCAUUUUAGCGAAUUUUAUUAUUUAUUUAUUUU